CUGAAAGGGCAGUGAGGCUGUUUCCAAUCGACCCUCGGCGCAUAGGAAUAAAUGAAAAGCAGCAUUAGAACAAAACAAAAACAAAAACAAAAACAAAGGCAAAAUUAGAAACAAAAACAAGACAAAACAAAACAAUAAAGAAUUAGUAAAUCCCGCAGAAAUAACGUAAAUAAUUAUGUAAACAUAAGAAAAAGACAAAAUUAGAAACAAAAACAAGACAAAACAAAACAAUAAAACAUUAGUAAAUCCCGCAGAAAUAACGUAAAUAAUUAUGUAAACAUAGGGAACAUAAAUACCAUCGCAUGCAAUAAUAACAAACAACCAUUAAACCCAAAGCGGACAGAAAAUGUUAAUCCGUCAGAUAUCAGACCUUUUGUGGCUCAUCGUUGUCAGGUUCCA
RNAcentral lists this long non-coding RNA (399 nucleotides) under Nicotiana benthamiana. Its description in RNAcentral is "long non-coding RNA (NBEN_LNC031700)". The record is from RNAcentral. Lineage: Eukaryota; Viridiplantae; Streptophyta; Magnoliopsida; Solanales; Solanaceae.